AUUGAACGCUGGCGGCAUGCCUUACACAUGCAAGUCGAACGGCAGCACGGGAGCAAUCCUGGUGGCGAGUGGCGAACGGGUGAGUAAUAUAUCGGAACGUGCCCAGUCGUGGGGGAUAACGUAGCGAAAGCUACGCUAAUACCGCAUACGAUCUAUGGAUGAAAGCGGGGGAUCGCAAGACCUCGCGCGAUUGGAGCGGCCGAUAUCAGAUUAGGUAGUUAGGUGAGGUAAAGGCUCGACCAAGCCGACGAUCUGUAGCUGGUCUGAGAGGACGACCAGCCACACUGGGACUGAGACACGGCCCAGACUCCUACGGGAGGCAGCAGU
Molecule: ribosomal RNA, 327 nt
Filed under: uncultured bacterium
Lineage: Bacteria
Description: bacterial SSU rRNA
Rfam family: Bacterial small subunit ribosomal RNA
Source: RNAcentral